UCUCAGUUCGGAUUGGAGUCUGNAACCCGACUCCAUGAAGCUGGAUUCGCUAGUAAUCGCGCAUCAGCCACGGCGCGGUGAAUACGUUCCCGGGCCUUGUACACACCGCCCGUCAAGCCAUGGAAGCCGGGAGUGCCUGAAGUGCGUGAGCGCAAGCAGCGCCCUAAGGUAAAACCGGUGACUGGGGCUAAGUCGUAACAAGGUAAC
RNAcentral lists this ribosomal RNA (207 nucleotides) under uncultured bacterium. RNAcentral's name for it is "partial 16S ribosomal RNA". It matches the Rfam family "Bacterial small subunit ribosomal RNA", at positions 1286 to 1500 of the family's 1533-position model. The record is from RNAcentral.